GGGGAUGUUUUUGGAUUUGCCAGGGUCAUCAAAAUUUAUAUGGCAUAUCUUGGUUACGCAAGUAAAAACGUCGAGGUUUAUAAUAACCGGAAAACAUAACAAAACUAAAACAGCAUCAACUCCACUUGUUCAAAGUUGGAGUCCAGCUUCAUUCAGUACUUCUACAUUUUCACAAUUAGCUUUUGCUUAAAAAAAAUAGCAAAACCCAAACUUAAAUUAGCUUAAGAUUUAAGCUAGGAUAAUAAAAGUAAGCUUGCUACAAUAGUUUGUCUUUGGCUUUUGCUAGCAAUUCAAACAAAGACUAAUAAUUUAUUUUUUUGUUUAUUUAUAAAUAAAUUAUAAAACCCUUAAAAUAAACUAAAUAUGUAGAGCAUAUAAAUGAAAAUGGUCUUGUACAUGGGUUCGAGUCCCAUCAUCUCCACCA
This 424-nucleotide transfer-messenger RNA is filed under the name Candidatus Phytoplasma solani. RNAcentral describes it as "Phytoplasma solani Standard tmRNA". It matches the Rfam family "transfer-messenger RNA". From Rfam's summary of the family: Bacterial tmRNA, also known as 10Sa RNA or SsrA, is named for its dual tRNA and mRNA-like properties. The record is from Rfam by way of RNAcentral. Lineage: Bacteria; Bacillati; Mycoplasmatota; Mollicutes; Acholeplasmatales; Acholeplasmataceae.